Molecule: transfer RNA, 74 nt
Filed under: Thermoplasmata archaeon
Lineage: Archaea; Methanobacteriati; Thermoplasmatota; Thermoplasmata
Also listed under: 1 other name
Description: tRNA-Thr
Rfam family: tRNA
About the family: Transfer RNA (tRNA) molecules are approximately 80 nucleotides in length.
Source: RNAcentral
GCCACCGUAGCUCAGUUUGGCAGAGCGGCUGAUUCGUAAUCAGCAGGUCGAGGGUUCAAGUCCCUCCGGUGGCU